Long non-coding RNA from Poecilia latipinna (sailfin molly), 541 nucleotides. RefSeq lists it as uncharacterized. The record is from RefSeq and is a predicted model, not a curated record. NCBI's taxonomy places the organism in Eukaryota, Metazoa, Chordata, Actinopteri, Cyprinodontiformes, Poeciliidae. The transcript has 3 exons.
CCCUGUAACGAUCAACCGCCGGCUCGGCCGGGCCGCCAUCUUGUUUUCAAACAUGCUUCGAGUUAGUUCCCGGCAGGGAGAGGAGACACAUACCGGCGAGGAAAUACGAUGAGAGCAGGAAAAGGGAGACAUUUAUGAGGAAAGAGACGGAAUACCAUCUGCAGCCCCGUUCCUGUUGGCCUGCUGCUGCCUGAGUUUCCCACCAACACAAUUACUGAAGUCACUCUGAGGGCUUGAUGCUCGGUUCUAUGAUGGUUUUGCUCGGAUGCAGCUUUAGAUCCUGUUUGAUCUGCGUUUCGGUUUGUGGGCGGUGAAAACCCGGCUGAGCCGUCAAACGGACAAAUCUGAGGCCCAGUAAAGUCAAAAAUGCAGCUGCAGCCGCCCACUCCCCCAUUGUUGCUUCCUAAUUGUUCAGAUUCAGAACAAUGGGGCUGGAGGUGGAAGCUAACUGCUUGUUAAUCAUCGUAAAACUGUUUGAAACCCACACAACGCAGGAAAACCUCCCCACUGUCUCCUCAGAUUAAACAAUCUGUCAAAAUUA